UGAACAGUGAUUCUCCUGUCUCAGUCCUCCAGAUGCUGGGAUUACAGGCCUGAGCUACCAAGUCCCCCUAAGAGUUGGUUUUCUAAGAAGGGCAGGGUUCUUUCUUCCUACUGUUGGGCCAUGGCGGAAACUGCUCAGACUUCCAGUUCAGCCCCAGGAGUCCCAGUCUUGUGUCCUCCGGGUGUGUGGACUCAGAUGCCUCUGCCCUUCUGAGCCCCAGACUCAGCAUCCAUGUAACAAGGACAAUUUCCAUGUUGUUGAGAAGAAAAUGAAGAGAGAAAGCUUCACCAUCCUUCCAGAUCUCCUCAGAUGGGGCCACAUGCCUGCAACAGAAAUAGUCCCCAGGCAUCAAGGCUGCCGGGAGAUGAAGCCCACUUAUCCCACAUGCUGCCCAGAGUAAAACACAUACAAUUGGUGAUUGGUGUGUCAUCUCCUAAUGCACUCACUGAAGUACGCAUACCUUCACGGGGGGAACCUGCAUUAAGUUAUUACCAAAUGUGGGGGAAACUGGGACUCAGAAAGGUGAAGUCAUUUGCCAACUAUCCCUCAACUGGAGGACAGAAGACUAAAAAUCAAAUAACCGAAACAAACAGAAAACAACCCUUUAACCAAAAAUCAAACCAAAACAAGCAAAAAAACCCUGAUUUCAAAAUCAUACUUCUUUAAAUGCCAUCCUAGAGCCUUCAUCUAGUAGCUGAUGGAAGCAGAAGCAGACACCCACAGCUAAGCUCUGAGCUGAACUCCUGGAAUCCAGAUGUAGAGAGGGAGGAGGAAUGCUGAGCAAAGGGGUCAAGACCUGGCUGGAGAAACCCACAGAAACAGCUGACCUUAACAAGGGGGAGCUCGUGGACCCCAGACUGAUAUCUGGGAAACCAGCAUAGGACCGAUCCCGGCCCCUUGAACGUGGGUGUCAGCGAGGAUCCCUGGGCAGUCUAUGAGGCCCCUGGUAGUGGAUCAGUAUUUAUCCCUAGUAUAAGAAUGGACUUUGGGAGCCCAUUCCACAUAGAGGGAUACUGUCUCAGCCUAGAUACACGGGGGAGGGCCUAGGCGCUGCUCCAAAUGAAAUGACAGACUUUGAAGAUUCCCCCAUGGAAGGCCUCACUCUCC
RNAcentral lists this long non-coding RNA (1107 nucleotides) under Cricetulus griseus (Chinese hamster). Its description in RNAcentral is "lncRNA (ENSCGRG00015038975.1)". The record is from RNAcentral. Lineage: Eukaryota; Metazoa; Chordata; Mammalia; Rodentia; Cricetidae.